Molecule: ribosomal RNA, 485 nt
Filed under: uncultured bacterium
Lineage: Bacteria
Description: bacterial SSU rRNA
Rfam family: Bacterial small subunit ribosomal RNA
Source: RNAcentral
CGCCUUAUACUCCUACGGGAGGCAGCAGUGGGGAAUAUUGGACAAUGGGCGAAAGCCUGAUCCAGCCAUGCCGCGUGUGUGAAGAAGGUCUUCGGGUUGUAAAGCACUUUAAGUUGGGAGGAAGGGCAUUAACCUAAUACGUUAGUGUCUUGACGUUACCGACAGAAUAAGCACCGGCUAACUCUGUGCCAGCAGCCGCGGUAAUACAGAGGGUGCAAGCGUUAAUCGGAAUUACUGGGCGUAAAGCGCGCGUAGGUGGUUUGUUAAGUUGAAUGUGAAAUCCCCGGGCUCAACCUGGGAACUGCAUCCAAAACUGGCUAGCUAGAGUAUGGUAGAGGGUAGUGGAAUUUCCUGUGUAGCGGUGAAAUGCGUAGAUAUAGGAAGGAACACCAGUGGCGAAGGCGACUACCUGGACUGAUACUGACACUGAGGUGCGAAAGCGUGGGGAGCAAACAGGAUUAGAAACCCGGGUAGUCCACGUACCA